Molecule: RNA transcript, 2551 nt
Organism: Ictalurus punctatus (channel catfish)
Lineage: Eukaryota; Metazoa; Chordata; Actinopteri; Siluriformes; Ictaluridae
Gene name: ATP-dependent RNA helicase TDRD9
Exons: 13
Source: RefSeq, a predicted model, not a curated record
UCAAAGAUUCAAAUUUACGUCAACGUCCGUUACGUUGGUGACGUCACCGCGAGCGCGAGAAGUCGAACUGAGGAGCAGAAACCGUUGUUAGUGUUAGUUCUGGCCCGUUUGGACCCAAACUAAAGUGUAUCAGUAUGAAGCAGGCGGUGACGGCGCAGUGGUUCACUCUCGGAGCUCGGUUCACUAAUGACCGAAUCACCGAGGAACCGACCAAAGAUAACUCACACCCGCACGGAGAAGAACUAGAGGAGGAGAAGAUGAGCUGGAGUGGGGCAAAGAGAACUGCAUUCAGAUCAAACGGAUACAAGAGUGGCCGAGUUGUUUGAGGAUCUGAAGAAUUGAGUGUCACAAUUCAACAUGCACAUCAGCGAAACUUCUCCCUCUGACUACACCAGCACGCACACACAGAAAUUCAUAGUGCAGGUGGCGAUUGCAGGCGCAUUUUAUCCGAACUGCUUCCUCCAGGGAACUGUGGACGAGGAGCUCGCCUCCAAGGAGCUCUAUGAAAACAACCCCAGGACCACCAUAGUGGUGUGUAAUCUCCCUCCAUUUGCAUUCCUCUACCAUAAACAGCUCCAGUCACUCUUCAGACACUGUGGUCAAGUCAAAUCCAUCUCCUUUGACAGCUCCAGGGCCUAUGUAGAGUUCUACCGCUCGUCAAUGAGAGGUUCUGGCGUUCUCCCAGAGGUCUCUCUGUCUCUCCUCCUCGCACAGCAGAGACUUCCUCUCCAUCUCAACGUUUAACCCGCUGGAGAGGUGGAGACUUGGGCAGGGGGGUAGUGUAUCUCACACCUCAGAUAUACACGGGUGAAUGUGGAUUUUCAGAAUCAGUCAGUGAGCCCUGUCGGGGUUCUGAGCAGCUCCAUUGAGUUGGAGAAUCUUCCGUCUAACCCUGUCUUCAUCGUCAAUAUCACCGAGGUGUCUGUUCCGCCUCUUUCACUUUCAGUGCACAAAUAAAAAAAAAGCAAUGGCUCGUGUGUGUGUGUGGGUCAUCGAAGUGGGGUUUUCAGGCUCACGAGGCAAGUCUGUAGAAACAGGUGGCUGACAGUGGCCGUUAAUACACGGGCGCUCUGCCCACUUCCUGUCUCACUUUAUCCAAAUCUUCUGUGUCUCGCCCCUUUCUCUGAAACUCACACCAAACUACUACAGAGCCAAAAUACUGCAUGUCAUGGGGAGUAAUGUGGAGGUGUUCUUUGUGGACUUUGGAAACACUUCCAAGGUGCCAUGUAACUCUCUCUGGAACUUCCUGCUGACCGGCAAGCUCUGCAUUUCAGGCUCAGGAGUUCAGCGUGGCGUGUUUGGCAUCAUCGGCACAGUCAGUCAAGAACUGCAGUUCAUAGAAACCUCCUCACGGCUAAAGCUGCAGAGAUGGAGGUCGAGGGGACCAUGAAGAGGCGGCUCCAGCUGGCAUCAGAGCGAGAGUGUGGGUGCAAGAGCAGACUUUUGAUAAAGGAGGGUAUUUACAGUGUUUUAACUGGUUGUGUUUGAGUUGUGCAGGCUUGUGUCACCUGACUUAAAGAAGGCAUUGUUUGAAGGGCUUGAUCAGCACCUCCCACGGCUCCUGCAGUUGUACAACACCGAGAGGCAGUGAAAUACCCGAAAUCCAACAUGUGAUGACCCGCAUUGAUCAAGAGAAAAUCCUAAAAGAGAAUUAGGAUUCUCGGUCUUCAGUCCAUAAUAUGAAACUCAAGCGCUGCAAGACAAUGAUCCAAAGCAUAGGAGUAAGUCCAAGUACUAGAAGUAAGUGAAAGUCUGAUCUCCAGUUAUUAGAAAUGUUUGGUUGCAGUUAUUGCUGCUAAAGGUGGCACAACCAGAUUUUAAGUUUCAGGGGGCAGUUCAUUUUUCACGUUGCUGAUAGCUGUAGCUGUUGGAUAACUUUUUUUAAGUAUUGUUUAUAAAAUUGAUUAUAAAAUACUAUUAUUAACCUAUAAAGCACUAAGUGGUCUCGUGCCACAAUAUCUAAGCGACCUUUUGGUUUUAUAUGAUCCGCCACGCCUACUUAGAUCAAAAGAUGCAGGCUACUUGACGGUACCUCGAAUAGUGAAGGCUACAGCAGGGGGAAGAGCUUUCUCUUAUAGAGCCCCACAGUUAUGGAACAGUCUUCCUAUUAGUGUUUGGGACUCAGACACAGUCUCAGUGUUUAAGUCUAGGCUUAAAACGUAUUUGUUUACUCAAGCCUACCCUGACUCUAUUAUGCUAAUACACAGUCCUAAUAAUCUUUUCUCUCCCUCUCUCCUUCUGUCGAGCCAUACAUGAAUUUAUGGAGAUACUAGAGAUCCUGAUCCUUUCUGCCUCUGGAUGGAGCUCUCAUCUACUCCAAAUCGAGAUUGCUGGGACUACGGCUGCUCUUAACGCCAUACAGACUUCAUAUGAAUCCAUAAUGAACUUUUUCACACUAACUGUUGUUACCCAGAUGAGGAUGGGUUCCCUUCUGAGUCGGGUUCCUCUCAAGGUUUCUUCCUCUUAAAACAUCUUAGGGAGUUUUUCCUUGCCACCGUCGCCACUCAGUGGCUUGCUCAGUUGGGAUAAAUUCACACCUUUAAUAUCUGUA